GAACGAACGCUGGCGGCGCGCCUAACACAUGCAAGUCGAACGAGAAUCCGGGGCAACCCGGUAGUAAAGUGGCGAACGGGUGAGUAAUAUAUCGGAACGUGCCCAGUAGUGGAGGAUAACUGCUCGAAAGAGCAGCUAAUACCGCAUACGACCUGAGGGUGAAAGGGGGGGAUCGCAAGACCUCUCGCUAUUGGAGCGGCCGAUAUCAGAUUAGCUAGUUGGUGGGGUAAAGGCCUACCAAGGCUACGAUCUGUAGUUGGUCUGAGAGGACGACCAGCCACACUGGGACUGAGACACGGCCCAGACUCCUACGGGAGGCAGCAGUGGGGAAUUUUGGACAAUGGGCGCAAGCCUGAUCCAGCAAUGCCGCGUGCAGGAAGAAGGCCUUCGGGUUGUAAACUGCUUUUGUCAGGGAAGAAAUCUUCUGGGUUAAUACCUCGGGAGGAUGACGGUACCUGAAGAAUAAGCACCGGCUAACUACGUG
Molecule: ribosomal RNA, 484 nt
Filed under: uncultured bacterium
Lineage: Bacteria
Description: bacterial SSU rRNA
Rfam family: Bacterial small subunit ribosomal RNA
Source: RNAcentral